RNAcentral lists this ribosomal RNA (253 nucleotides) under uncultured bacterium. Its description in RNAcentral is "partial 16S ribosomal RNA". It matches the Rfam family "Bacterial small subunit ribosomal RNA", at positions 524 to 776 of the family's 1533-position model. The record is from RNAcentral.
UACGUAGGUGGCAAGCGUUGUCCGGAAUUAUUGGGCGUAAAGCGCGCGCAGGCGGUCCUUUAAGUCUGAUGUGAAAGCCCACGGCUCAACCGUGGAGGGUCAUUGGAAACUGGGGGACUUGAGUACAGAAGAGAAGAGUGGAAUUCCACGUGUAGCGGUGAAAUGCGUAGAGAUUUGGAGGAACACCAGUGGCGAAGGCGACUUUCUGGUCUGUAACUGACACUGAGGCGCGAAAGCGUGGGGAGCAAACAGG